RNAcentral lists this transfer RNA (72 nucleotides) under Gasteruption sp. M19. RNAcentral describes it as "tRNA-Cys". Lineage: Eukaryota; Metazoa; Arthropoda; Insecta; Hymenoptera; Gasteruptiidae. The record is from RNAcentral.
AAACUUAUAAUUUAAUGAAAAUAAUAAAUUGCAAAUUUAUAAAUAUAAUUGUUAUGUUAAUUAUUGAGUUUU